RNAcentral lists this transfer RNA (75 nucleotides) under Thermoprotei archaeon. RNAcentral describes it as "tRNA-Cys". It matches the Rfam family "tRNA". Rfam says of the family: Transfer RNA (tRNA) molecules are approximately 80 nucleotides in length. Lineage: Archaea; Thermoproteati; Thermoproteota; Thermoprotei. The record is from RNAcentral. RNAcentral also lists the same sequence under 1 other name.
GGAGGGGUGUCGGAGUGGCUACGAGCCCGGCUGCAGACCGGGUACACGUGGGUUCGAAUCCCACCCCCUCCUCCA